AGAGGUACCUUCCCCGGGCUCUUCUCAGACCUUACGUCUUUUAAUUCAUUCAGUGUUCACGGCCGCCUUAUGAGGUGGGUCCUAUCAUCCUUCUUCACAGGCGGAGCAAUGCAUCCUUAUGUCCCUGAAAGAGCUAUAGAAAGGUCACAUCCCUACGCAGCAGUGGAGUUGAGCCCUGAGGUCAGGCUGGCUACCGAGACCAGGCUCACAACCAUGCCCCACACUGCCUCUCCGAAUGCCAUCUUCCAGUAAUCUCUACGAUAACCUCAGAGUCCUUUUUUCACUGCAAGAUACACUGCCUUCCAGGGUGACAGCGGCUUUCAUAUCAGAUCUCGACCUCUCGGCCGCCUCCAGGGUGUGUGGCCGGCCCUCCCCUCUGACGUCUCCGGCAGCGUGGGCCCCGGGCAUGCGUCCUUCGUGUCGCUGAAGCCGCCGCGUGGAGGUGCUCCCCCAUCUUGCUUGCGCUCCGCUUUGCGUGCGGUUGGCAACGGGUCUUGGAAAAAUGGGAGAAUGGCGUAGCCUGGGAUUGACACGUGAUUCUGGUUUUUUGUGUUGUUUUCAAUGCUGUGCAAAGUUGUCAUCUCCAAAUCUUGCACAAAGAGCUGCGAUGGCAAGUUUGCACACGCACGAAAAGGAAAGAAAGAAAAAGAGAACGCAAGAGGUUGGGCACCUGCAAACGUCUGACUGCCCGUGGAAAUGAAGAGGACCUUCAUUUGCACAUUAAAGUUGGAAGAGCUUGGGCAAGAUGUUUACCGGAGGACGAGGCCACAAGUUAUUCUUCAACUAGCAAUAAUCGCUUCUCAUAUGACCCCCAUUGGCUCCGAUGCUGCCCCUGCACGUAGCUGCCACUCUUGGAAGGUCUCAGAAUGCCAAGACUGUGACCUUUCGCCAGGAUCACACUGCAGGGCGGAGGCAUCUGCCAGCAGGCAAGCGAGGAGGCAGAGAGAUGACAGUUCUCAGUCCAACAGUGGUUGCCAAAGACAGAUAUGUGCCCACAGAGGUAAGACAAUUGCACGCUUGUUCUAAAAGUCUGUUGCCUCAACAGUUUACUUCCCAAGGCGGUGCAAUUUUUCUGCUUCUCAAAGCAAAUCCUACAACUGCACAUUGAUCUCUGGGAAAAAACUCAGGGAACUGGUCUCCCAAACAGAAGUAUCAGACCAAUCUAAAUCAGAAUUGCUCAUUACUUGCUCAUCAGUGACAUGACUCCAGAGCAGGACUUCUUUAAUUUCCCACUAUUGACGACACAGCCUGGAUCAUUCUUCAUCGUGGGUCUGUCCUGAGUACUGCAGGCUGCUUAGCCUGCAGUGGCCUAUGGCCACUGCCUUCUAGAUGCCACCAGCGCUCCCCCCAGCCCCAGUCAUGAAAAUCAAGAAUGUUUUCAGAUAUUGCUAAAAGUCCCUGGAGGUUGGAG
This 1411-nucleotide long non-coding RNA is filed under the name Felis catus (domestic cat). RNAcentral's name for it is "lncRNA (ENSFCAG00000049903.1)". The record is from RNAcentral. Lineage: Eukaryota; Metazoa; Chordata; Mammalia; Carnivora; Felidae.